Long non-coding RNA from Caretta caretta (loggerhead turtle), 527 nucleotides. RefSeq lists it as uncharacterized. NCBI's taxonomy places the organism in Eukaryota, Metazoa, Chordata, Testudines, Cheloniidae. The record is from RefSeq and is a predicted model, not a curated record.
UGCGCCAGUGAGACUGCGGAGCCGCGUGAGUCGGCCUGCAGCGGGGGCGAGGCUGCGUGGCGGGCGGGGUGGGGCCAACAAUGCAGGGUAGCAGCUCUGAGCCCCUCCCCCUCAUGGGGUCAGAGCCCAGGCUCCAGCCCAAGCCUGAAUGUCCACGCUGCAGUUUCGGAGCCCCCCAACCCGGGUCAGCUGGCCUGGGCCAGCCUUGGCAGUGCCCCAGUCUUUGACUGCAGUACAGACGCACCCCAAGAUCCAGGAAGGAUGUGGGCCAGGCCAACACAAAGAGGAUAGGAACUGCCUUGCCCUGGCCAGGACACUGCCAGAGCAAAACCCCAAGUAUAAACAAGGCUUCAGAACAAUUGCAGAGCUGGACCAAUGGCUCAGUGGGGUGUGCUUUGCUGUGCAUGAAACCUAGACGCCACAGUCAGUGUCUUUGGGCCCUGCCUGAGAGGAGUAUUCACAGGUCAAAUGGUCUGUAGAGGGCGGAGGCUCAACCAGGCUCAGCUCUCUGCCAAGACACACACCUG